CACAGAUGAAAAAGACUGCUAGAAUAGAGUUUUGGCAUUAGGGAAUACUAUCUGCAGCAGGGUCAGCUCUGAAUGACUCACUACUGAGAAAAGAAAAGAAAAGAAAAGAAAAGAAAAGAAAAGAAAAGAAAAGAAAAGAAAAGAAAAGAAAAGAAAAGAAAAGAAAAGAAAAACUGCAGCAAGGACUAGAGCUUCUGUGUGAAAGCAACUUUAGUAACAAGAAUGUUCAAAACUAGAUUAUUCCCCUGCUUAAUCAUUAACCUUUGUUUUCCUCUGGGGACCUGAAGAGUAUUUUUUAAAAAGAGCUCAGAGAAUUAGAGGGGAUUUAUUCGCACUUUAAGAUAAAAUAGUUGACUCAAGCUUAGGCAUAUGAGGAGAUGUGAAAACUUCUGAUGUCCAGUUCUGUCAACAAUACUGGAUAAAAUGGUGAGAAGGAACACCCCAUGGAAGACAUGCAGUGACAGCAGACAAAAUCUCUGGAUACUACAUCACAGCAAUGGCCCCUCCAGAAGACACAGAGCUAGCAUGAAGUUCACAGGACUUGGGGCUAUAGCCUGCCAUCACUAUAGAAGAAAGAGUUUUUGCAUGAAACACAAUAUAUUUCAAUCACAAGGAAUAGUAUUCAAGGCAUGCAACCACAGGAUAUGAGCUUC
Molecule: long non-coding RNA, 653 nt
Filed under: Gallus gallus (chicken)
Lineage: Eukaryota; Metazoa; Chordata; Aves; Galliformes; Phasianidae
Description: lncRNA (ENSGALG00010005036.1)
Source: RNAcentral